GCAAGUCGAACGAGAAAAUCCUUCGGGAUGAGUACAGUGGCGCACGGGUGAGGAACGCGUAGGUAAUCUACCCUCUGGCGGGGGACAACACUCCGAAAGGAAUGCUAAUACCGCGUAAGACCACACUCCCCACGGAGAGAGUGGUAAAAGGUGGCCUCUUCUUGAAAGCUACCACCAGAGGAUGAGCCUGCGUCCCAUCAGCUUGUUGGUAAGGUAAAAGCUUACCAAGGCUAAGACGGGUAGCUGGUCUGAGAGGAUGAUC
Molecule: ribosomal RNA, 262 nt
Filed under: uncultured bacterium
Lineage: Bacteria
Description: partial 16S ribosomal RNA
Rfam family: Bacterial small subunit ribosomal RNA
Source: RNAcentral